Molecule: ribosomal RNA, 253 nt
Filed under: uncultured bacterium
Lineage: Bacteria
Description: partial 16S ribosomal RNA
Rfam family: Bacterial small subunit ribosomal RNA
Source: RNAcentral
UACGUAGGGCGCAAGCGUUGUUCGGAAUUACUGGGCGUAAAGGGCUCGUAGGUGGCCAACUAAGUCCGACGUGAAAUCCCUAGGCUCAACCUAGGAACUGCGUCGGAUACUGGAUGGCUUGAAUUCGGGAGAGGGAUGCAGAAUUCCAGGUGUAGCGGUGAAAUGCGUAGAUAUCUGGAGGAAUACCGGUGGCGAAGGCGGCAUCCUGGACCGACAUUGACGCUGAGGAGCGAAAGCUAGGGGAGCGAACAGG